CAGGAUGAACGCUAGCGGCAGGCUUAACACAUGCAAGUCGAGGGGCAUCGCGGGUGGCAACACCUGGCGGCGACCGGCGAACGGGUGAGUAACGCGUGAGCAACAUGUCCUCAGUCGGGGGAUAAGCGAGGGAAACUUCGUCUAAUACCCCAUAACACUUUCAGGCGCAUGCCUUUAAGUUGAAAGCUUUUUUUGCGACUUUGGUUUGGCUCGCGUGACAUUAGCUAGUCGGUGGGGUAACGGCUCACCGAGGCUACGAUGUCUAGGGGUUCUGAGAGGAAGGCCCCCCACAUUGGGACUGGGACACGGCCCAAACUCCUACGGGAGGCAGCAGUGAGGAAUAUUGGUCAAUGGACGGAAGUCUGAACCAGCCAUGCCGCGUGAAGGAAGACUGCCCUAUGGGUUGUAAACUUCUUUUGCAGCAGAGCAAUAAGGCGUACGCGUACGCCGAUGAGAGUAUGUUGCGAAUAAGCAUCGGCUAACUCCGUGCCAGCAGCCGCGGUAAUACGGAGGAUGCGAGCGUUAUCCGGAUUUAUUGGGUUUAAAGGGUGCGUAGGCUGUUUUGUAAGUCAGCGGUGAAAGACCGGGGCCCAACUCCGGA
RNAcentral lists this ribosomal RNA (601 nucleotides) under uncultured bacterium. Its description in RNAcentral is "bacterial SSU rRNA". It matches the Rfam family "Bacterial small subunit ribosomal RNA", at positions 25 to 619 of the family's 1533-position model. The record is from RNAcentral.